CUGACUGCACCCUUUUUAAAGUUUUCUGAAAAAUAAUCAUCAGCAACCCCACCCACCUGUUUUUACUUUUCUUGCUUUCCUCUACCGGCACGAUUGAGGUGUUUGCAUCCGGGUUUCCAUUGCAGACAUGUAGGUGUUCAUCUCCCAUGGCUUCUUCAGGUGUUGGAGCCUCAACUCUGAAAGUUUGGUUCUUUGAGAGGAACAAAUUGUGGGUGUUCAACACUUUGAAGCAUCUGAAGAUUCUCCCCUAUGAACUUCAAAUUUUCAUUUGCACUCUCUCACACAGAUGUAUGCAAAGUUAUAAAUUCUAACCUGAAAAUGCGUUGAGGUGGGGGUUUGCUGCCAGAGGUUCGAAAGGGUGACGGAGUAGCUUUGGCAGAGCCAUCCCCGGAGGUGAGGCGCGCCGCAAUGCUACGGGCUGACAGAGCGGAGAGUGGAUCUGGCGGCGGUGAUGGUGACCAUUUGUCUCCGUCAAAAUUGCUUGGGUUUCCAGGGAAGAAGAACAGUAUGAUUUAAGGGUUCAAAAUGGUAGGGUCAUUAGGGGUGUUAUUAGAUUGAUGUUUUUUUUUACUUUUUAGGGUGUAGUUAGUUAAUUCGGUGGUGUAAAUAGUCCUCAUCUUUUUUAUUUGUACACCUCAAAAUCCUGGCAUUCGAGUGUUCUUGGACAAUUUGGAGAAGACGAUGAGCAGGAAGGGCUGAAACAGGAUUGCGAUGCAGACAUCCAAACACCAACUAGCUUGAAUCAUCUUCGGCUACUCAAUUUCAAGGUGAGUCCUUUCAGUCAAUUAACUCACUGUUCCUUUGCUAUCAUCAUCAUCCAAAGAGAAAUCAUAAACCUCGACUUCCUUCUAAGAAGAAUCAAUUCACACUUUCCUCCCUUAUAUAUACAAUCUAUACAUACGAUCCAAUACGUACCCGCACAAACACUCCAAGAACCAGCAACGUUUUUUUAAUCAAGAAUGGCAAGAGUCUACAUAUCUAAGCAAACCUCCUGCUGUUUAUGCUCUUACUGCGGGGGUAGAGCGUACCUAAGCGUAUGUGAGUUUAUUCUCCUAGUGUUGUGAGAAUCAGUCUGUGGGAUUGGUUUCUCUUUCAAGCCAUUUCGUUUGAAUCGAAGAGUCUGUUGACUCUCUUCAAUCUGCUGAGGUGGGUUCUCCAAUUUAAUUUGAAAGUUUAAUUGUUUACCCAACGACUUUUGCUGCUUUUGUGAGGAUGAUUGUGGAGGAUUUUAGGAAGUUAGUAUUAUCCUUCUUGGGUAGUCUUCUCUCACAGCCAGAAGUUAAGUUCUCUCACUUUAGUUUCCCUCUACAACCAUUUGUAAUUCUACAUAUCUUAAAAUGUGUUAUGACUGAGAAACUGAUUUGGUUUGUUGAUUUUCUUCAGUUGAAAUGGCUUAAUCUUCACCUUAUCAAGAUCUUGCCUUAUAUGAAUGAGGCAACUUCUAAGCUCAUAAAGGCUUCGGUUGAGCCAGUACUCGAACAAGACAGGGCGUACGUACUAUCAUCUCUGAAGUUUUCUAAAUUCACUCUUGGUUAUGUUCUUCGUUGUGAAAGUUAAGUUCAAAAUGGCCUGGAGCCAUAUUUUCUCGGCAUGUGAUGGAUAAACUGCCAGGAAGGACCUACCCCUCCCUCAUGGAAUUGUGCAUACAUAAAAUACGCGAGAACAUUGACAAGCAUAGUUCAUUGUCGGUGCUGCCAAGCAAUUUGAGUCAACAAGUUUUUGAUGAAUUGGUGCUUUAACACGUUCUUACUGAUGGGUCACUUGAAGUCUUUGGAGAUUGCGCUCCACGUGUUUUCUUUGUUGAUGGCUUAGAGAUUCAGACACUUGGAUAUGCUUAUGCUCCCUUUUCACUAUUGGUUCUUUAAAGAAAGUGUUGGAUUAUCUGAAUUCAUUCUGUUUGGCAAGAUGUUUAUUUGAGUGAAUAUCCCGGAGUACAGGAUAGUUGGAUGGAUGUCGUUUCUUCGCAAGGUUCCUCGCUACUUUCAAUUGAUAUCUCAGGCUGUGACGUGACUGAUACUGGGUUGGUUCUCCUCAAAAAUUGUUCAACCCUUCAAGAAUUAACUUAUGAUUAUUGUGAACAGAUUUCAGAAAAUGGGCUGAAAUAUAUUAGUGGUAAUUUUAUUCUUUGGAGCCUUGAUUUGCAAAGCUUCUAGGUUUGUCAUCCACCACUUUUAUUUUUGCUUGAGUUUUUUGUUAUUUCGAUGUGCUAUGUAUUGUUGUUUUAACGUUCUUUACUUUAUUUGGUUUAUCAUAUGGAUUCUUGGUGCGAUCUUCUCUCUUCUGAAUUUCAAAUUAGGUUUGGCAUUGCUUUUGGAGCCUUAAUUUGCGUAGAUUCCAGGUUCAUCCUAUACCAGUUUUCUUUAUCUGCUCGGGUCUCAUUUGCUUAUGCUAAUGCUUCAGGUCACCAUUGUUAGUGACUAAUCUGCUUAUAUUUUCCUGUUUGAGACGAGUACAAGAAAGUCAGGAUCAAGAUUAUUUGCUCUUCUUUAUGUCAUCUUUUGGGAAAUGAAGGUCUCCUCUCAUCAGUUACUGAUAUGCAAUUCCUUUACACAUAGCACAUGUUGAUGAUGUUGAUGAUUGAUUCGGGUUUAAAUGGUAUGGGCAAUGUUUCUCUCAACUAGGUCUUCCUGACAAAACUUUUCUCCAUUUGGUCCACCGUCAUCUCAGCUAAACUUUCCAUCUCCUCGCAAAUCACGUUUUGAUCGCCAAGGCACAAUUGCCACUUCACUUCCUUUGUCCAAAGUAUUUUUAAUGCUAUUAUUCAUAUGGUUUUGGUGUGUUUUUUGCUUGAUCUCUCUGUUUCUGAUUCCUUAAGCAGCGAAGAAGAAUGGCAUGGAGGUAUCUGAACUGAUUGUGGCUUGCAUCUCCUCCAACUUAGCCUUACAAGUAUUAAGACGAGGUUAGCAAUGUGGAAUUUGGACUGCACUGGUGCCAUCACUGUGUCUAUUCCUUUAAAUGUGUAUUCUUUCUUUUCUUUGAAGUUCAGUUUUUAUUUUGGGGUGAGCUUACCCAUUCACUUACCUAAUUAAUCCUUAUUGCACAAAUUAUGUUAGAUAAGGAGCUGUGUUAUUUUCUUUCUUUUUUAUUCUUUCUGCGUUAAAUUUAUCUCUCUGUCUUCUCUUUCUUCGUGUGCAUUGUCACUGACGAGGGUCAUGUUCCGUCCUCCAAUACCCUUGACAUUAAAGGAACCGAAGGUUUAUAUGAGAUCAGACGAUUAGGAAGUGUAGACUGAUGGUUUUUGCUACAGCAUGUAAAGAAAGGAUUCAUGGGUUUGGAACUGUAGACUGAUGGGUUUUCUGGCUCAUGUGAAUUAGGAUCUAAAUUGUCUGAAUUAUAGAAGAACUGGUGGCUAGGAUUUGGCAAUUAGAUUGCUGCAUGGCUUUAAUAUAUAUGACAAAACUAUAUGGAGUACAUGGAAGUCCGAAUGAUCACUAUUGCCCUUGAAAAUAAAAAAGUGUUGAUUCUUAAGAUAAAUAUAUCCCUCAGAAAAAAAUGAUCUAGCCAUGAUCCAGUUGUGAUGUAGCCUCAGAAAACUGAUCUAGCGCUGAUCCAGUUGUGAUG
RNA transcript from Tripterygium wilfordii, 3561 nucleotides. It is a transcript of the gene named synaptotagmin-4-like, with no coding region annotated. Lineage: Eukaryota; Viridiplantae; Streptophyta; Magnoliopsida; Celastrales; Celastraceae. The transcript is spliced from 6 exons. The record is from RefSeq and is a predicted model, not a curated record.